Molecule: ribosomal RNA, 432 nt
Filed under: uncultured bacterium
Lineage: Bacteria
Description: partial 16S ribosomal RNA
Rfam family: Bacterial small subunit ribosomal RNA
Source: RNAcentral
ACGAACGCUGGCGGCAUGCCUAACACAUGCACGUCGAACGAGACCUUCGGGUCUAGUGGCGCACGGGUGCGUAACGCGUGGGAACCUGCCCUUAGGUUCGGAAUAACUCCCCGAAAGGGGUGCUAGUACCGGAUAAUGUCUUCGGACCAAAGAUUUAUCGCCUUUGGAUGGGCCCGCGUUGGAUUAGCUAGUUGGUAGGGUAAAAGCCUACCAAGGCGACGAUCCAUAGCUGGUCUGAGAGGAUGAUCAGCCACACUGGGACUGAGACACGGCCCAGACUCCUACGGGAGGCAGCAGUGGGGAAUAUUGGAUAAUGGGCGAAAGCCUGAUCCAGCAAUGCCGCGUGAGUGAUGAAGGCCUUAGGGUUGUAAAGCUCUUUUACCCGGGAUGAUAAUGACAGUACCGGGAGAAUAAGCUCCGGCUAACUCCGUG